UACGUAGGGUGCAAGCGUUAAUCGGAAUUACUGGGCGUAAAGCGUGCGCAGGCGGUUAUGUAAGACAGAUGUGAAAUGCCCGGGCUUAACCUGGGAACUGCAUUUGUGACUGCAUGGCUAGAGUUUGGCAGAGGGGGGUAGAAUUCCACGUGUAGCAGUGAAAUGCGUAGAGAUGUGGAGGAAUACCGAUGGCGAAGGCAGCCCCCUGAGUCAAUACUGACGCUCAUGCACGAAAGCGUGGGGAGCAAACAGG
This 253-nucleotide ribosomal RNA is filed under the name uncultured bacterium. RNAcentral describes it as "partial 16S ribosomal RNA". It matches the Rfam family "Bacterial small subunit ribosomal RNA", at positions 524 to 776 of the family's 1533-position model. The record is from RNAcentral.